AAAUAGUUUAGUUGUAUUUUAAUAUUAUAUUAUUACUUGAUUUUAUUUAAUAAUCUCUCUAUCUAAAUUAAUUCAAGAUUUGCCCUAGGACAAUUUAUGAAUACACCUUUCUUCUAUUCUCUCCUAUUACAGAAAUCCGUCCUGGAAUUUGGCACAUGUAUGGGAUAUGGAUAGAAAAUAAGAGCAAAGAGGAAUUCAAGAUAAUGAGGCAAUAUAAACAAAAGUUGAAAAGAGAAAAUGAGCAUGCAGUGCCUAGAGAUGCCAAGGAAUCCAGAUCACUGAGGUUGUUUCACUGUGGGUAACUGCUAAGGCCUUCACCCUUGAUGCCAGAGGUGCUGAAACACAUUGCCACACGGCGAAAGAAGUGCCCUAUUGGCCCAAACACAUUGAAUAAACAUCUACCUCAAACCUU
Molecule: long non-coding RNA, 412 nt
Filed under: Homo sapiens (human)
Lineage: Eukaryota; Metazoa; Chordata; Mammalia; Primates; Hominidae
Description: HSALNT0401023
Source: RNAcentral